RNAcentral lists this ribosomal RNA (317 nucleotides) under uncultured bacterium. RNAcentral describes it as "bacterial SSU rRNA". It matches the Rfam family "Bacterial small subunit ribosomal RNA", at positions 483 to 793 of the family's 1533-position model. The record is from RNAcentral.
AGAAGAAGCACCGGCUAACUCCGUGCCAGCAGCCGCGGUAAUACGGAGGGUGCGAGCGUUAAUCGGAAUUACUGGGCGUAAAGCGCAUGCAGGCGGCCUGUUAAGUCAGAUGUGAAAGACCCGGGGCGUUAACCUCGGAAUUGCAUUUGAAACUAGGCAGGCUAGAGUCUUGUAGAGGGGGGUAGGAAUUUCAGGUGUAGCGGUGAAAUAGCGUAGAGAUCUGAAGGAAUACCAGUGGCGAAGGCGGCCCCCUCGGACAAAGACUGACGCUCAGAUGCGAAAGCGUGGGGAGCAAACAGGAUUAGAUACCCUGGUAG